GAAGUGAGUAACUUCCCCCAUGCUUUAUUGAGACAAUAUUACAAAGCAAUUACAGAGGAGAAGUGGGUGAUAAAAGGUUACAUAGGGAAUAAUAAGAGUGGAGAAGACUGUGUAAUAGAAAUGGCCUUAUGGCUGUCAAUGGACUUAGCAGUGCAUAAGUGCCCCACAAUUGGAAGGAGUAUAACAACUUGUAUAGGGAAAUACAGGAGUAG
RNAcentral lists this long non-coding RNA (212 nucleotides) under Elaeis guineensis (African oil palm). Its description in RNAcentral is "long non-coding RNA (EGUI_LNC004475)". Lineage: Eukaryota; Viridiplantae; Streptophyta; Magnoliopsida; Arecales; Arecaceae. The record is from RNAcentral.